Molecule: long non-coding RNA, 2092 nt
Organism: Tripterygium wilfordii
Lineage: Eukaryota; Viridiplantae; Streptophyta; Magnoliopsida; Celastrales; Celastraceae
Exons: 2
Source: RefSeq, a predicted model, not a curated record
UUUAAUAAUUAAUUAUAUUUGUAAUAAAUCAAAUUACACUUCAUGCUGUGCUGGGUUCAAACACUUUUGAAAAAACAAAUCAAAUUACAUUUAUACUAAUAUCAAAUUAUAUUUAUAAAUUUAUACUUAUUAAUAUUUAUAAAAAAUUUAAAAUUACAAACAAAAUAUACUUCCACCCGCAACUUAUAAACCAACUUCAACUAUAACUUUCCCUAGCCACAAUUAUUUCAAAACUUAUAAUCUAACUUAAUUUUCACAAUUUAUAAACUAAUUUAUUUUCACAACAUACAAAUUAAUUUAUUUCCAUACAGCAUAGAAACUAACUCAUUUCCACAUCUUAUACGCUCUACCAACCUCACCCCUAUUGUUGAAUUUCCACAGGUAGCUAACUUAGGAAUUACCAUAAAUGAGUUUGUCAGGCCCAAUGUGAACUCUGUAAACAAUACGGCAAUACCAUUAUCAAUUCAUUAGAACAUACCUCGACAUCUACCGCAACAACGUCGUCAACCAUCUAAAAAGAUUUUCGUAUGCCACCAUUAUAAAUCACACCGUUCUAUGACUUCAAGUUCGUUCAGUUAUUCUCCUUGGUAGGACAGUAAGGUUACCUUUCACUCGACGUCUACCCACCACAUCACAUGCUAGCUACCCCAAAAGCUUACUCGCACAGGAAAAAAAAUCAGCCUAUCCAUUUUUUCUCUACAACCACAACUAAAUACAUCAAUUGAACUAAAAAUACGAAAUACACUUCCCAAAUUAACGCCAUCAUACAUUACCUUUGCCUCCUUACCAACUAUCGCAAAAAGAUGAAACCAUGGGACGAAGAAUAAGCAGGAAAGAAAUCCAGCAUGCUUGUUUGAACAAAAGACGAAAAAAAAACAACUUGGAUUCGAACUUCGGAAUAUCAUUAAAACGCAAAUAAUAUUAAGUUCAACAAUAAAAUCAUGUAAAUAUCCACACUUUUCAAUUACCCGUCAUCAAGAAUGAGUCAUAAAAGUUUGUUAAUUGCAAAUGACGUUAUGGACCAUAACAUUUAAGAACCAACAGCAACAGAUAUCUUCAACAAAUUGGGAAUGAAGAAGGAUGAUAUCAUUUAUUUGAGAUAUUCCUUUUAUUUCAGAGCAUUAAUCUCCAAAGGCCAUGAUUACCAAAAACCAAAGAAUUGAGCUAUCAAUGCUAAUAUACGUUACCUUUGCUUCUUGUUUAUCGCCAUCAGAUGAAUCAUGGGACUAAGAAAUAAGAAUGGGCAUAAAUGGGGUUGUCGACCAUAAGAUCUAAGGGCUAACAUUCUACCUAGAUAUUUCUAGUACACGCUUCAAUUAGAAACAGAGAUAUGAUGACGUGAGAAAACAACCAAUAUUAAGUCCAACAAUAAAAACCAUGGCAAUAACCACAAUUAUCAGUUGCACAUUGUCAACAAUGGGCAUAAAUGGGGGUUAUGAAGUUCGACACCCUUUCAAAGGCCAAAGAAAUAACAAGUCGUGGUCACAUAUGCGAGGAUCUAUAGAUAAGAAUGCCAAACAUUAAAAGACAAAUCUCCCAAUCCAAUACUCUGUGAUAUUCAAAACAAUAUUCAAUCUUCUUACUUUCUUAGAGUAAAAAAGUAUUCCAACUGCAGUUUUUAUGUCCUUCAUUUACUAAAGCUCUUUACUUUCUUAAAGUAAAAAAUUUAUUGCACCUCUAGUUCUGAUACCCAUCGCCUAUUAGGUGUAUCUUAAGUGGACUAAAGCUAAGCAGAAACAACUAAAAGUAAUGUCAAACUCGCUCAUAGGACACGCUUUUACAAGUGAAUUGCCAUCGAGUUUCAUACAGAUCUCCUUCACAGCUGAAACCAAAUUAAGUAUUCAACUUAAGGUUCUUCCCACAUGGGUUACUACCUUUUAUAGCAUCUGCAGAUUUCGCCAACUAAACAGGGCAGGCAGAGGGUGAAAAAUAAGCCUCAAAGGCUUGCACGUGUUGUAAUGUGCAGUUACUAUUGCAGUUUCCUGCGUAGCAGAGUAGGAAUGGCAUUUGGCCUGCCUGCUAUCGAUCUAUUCCACUUUACAUGCAUACAAGUAAAAUUAAAACAAACUUAUAAAGCUUAUGUCCUUUUUCA